CCUGGGGAGUACGGCCGCAAGGUUAAAACUCAAAUGAAUUGACGGGGGCCCGCACAAGCGGUGGAGCAUGUGGUUUAAUUCGAUGCAACGCGAAGAACCUUACCUGGUCUUGACAUCCACAGAACUUAGCAGAGAUGCUUUGGUGCCUUCGGGAACUGUGAGACAGGUGCUGCAUGGCUGUCGUCAGCUCGUGUUGUGAAAUGUUGGGUUAAGUCCCGCAACGAGCGCAACCCUUAUCCUUUGUUGCCAGCGGUUAGGCCGGGAACUCAAAGGAGACUGCCAGUGAUAAACUGGAGGAAGGUGGGGAUGACGUCAAGUCAUCAUGGCCCUUACGACCAGGGCUACACACGUGCUACAAUGGCGCAUACAAAGAGAAGCGACCU
This 383-nucleotide ribosomal RNA is filed under the name Enterobacter cloacae. RNAcentral describes it as "bacterial SSU rRNA". It matches the Rfam family "Bacterial small subunit ribosomal RNA", at positions 872 to 1255 of the family's 1533-position model. The record is from RNAcentral. Lineage: Bacteria; Pseudomonadati; Pseudomonadota; Gammaproteobacteria; Enterobacterales; Enterobacteriaceae. RNAcentral also lists the same sequence under 1 other name.